GGCAACCCAGUCCAGUCCCCUUCCACACUGUGGAAGCUUUGUUCUUUUGCUCUUUGCAAUAAAUCUUGCUACUGCUCACUCUUUGCGUCCACACUGCCUUUAUGAGCUGUAACACUCACCGCGAAGUUCUGCAGCUUCACUCCUGAAGCCAGCCAGACUACGAACCCACUGGGAGGAACGAACAACUCCAGAUGCGCCGCCUUAAGAGCUGUAACACUCACCGCGAAGGUCCCGCAGCUUCACUCCUGAGCCAGCAAGACCACAAACCCACCAGAAGGAAGAAACUCCGAACACAUCUGAACAUCAGAAGGAACAAACUCUGGACACACUGCCUUUAAGAACUGUAAUACUCACCGUGAGGGUCCGCGGCUUCAUUCUUGAAGUCAGUGAGACCAAGAACCCACCAAUUCCAGACACAGUGGGAUCACAGAGAGAGCCAACAGUCCAGGCCAUGACAAGCUGGGACCCAGCUCUGCUUCACAAGUAAGUUAUUCCUCUUCUAAUUGUCCCGCUAGGUGAAAUUGAUUAAUCAUUUAUUCAGAAUCUCCACUUCCUGCUAGUUGUCCAUCUGGCGUGGCUGUAGCUCCUUCCUGCAAGGCAAUGCUGAAGAAGCUAUGGAAGCAAGAAGGAAGCAUGGAUUCUAAAAACUGACAACAAACCACUUACCCCUAUUGCUCUUCUUCCUAAAGCUAAAGGAUCAAACUGCAUCACGGAAGCUGCACACGAUGACACCCUGUCUGGAAAGUUUUUGCCAGAGGGCAAAAGACUGCAAGCAGAAUAUCCCUUUGCCAUUUCUCAUUCAGGACUGGCCGUUGUCUGAAAGCAAACCUCAAGGACAGGACUUCUGGACUCCGCAGCCACUCCAGGCUGCUGCUCCAUCGCAUGAAUUCCAGCAGGUGGCGCUGCACCCCGCGCGGACCCGGCUUGCCUCUCUCGGCCCCAGGGAGGUCGGUUGAUGAGCAGUCGGGAAGUGGGUCUGCGCGCACCCCGCUGCAGCUGUGGCAAACGCAAACGAUGACACACAGGCUUGACGAGGGCCUUUGUCAGAAGCAAUGGGGAUCUGGCGUCACCGCACAAUGGAAAACAAAGUGCUUCUGCCUGGCUGGCCAGAAUGCACGUUUGCUCACUAUUGAUGCCGGGGCAUUUACAGGCAGAAUGAGUUCAUGUGAAAUUUCAGGAUCUGCCAUGACUCAGAUUCACUUUCUGUAAACCAGAGUCAACAUUACAUUUCCCUUUACUCUGGGCCAUUCCUUGAAUUUUUAGGUCACCAGUUGUUUUUGUACUAACUGAAGGGAUUUGAGUAUUUCACAAGCACCUUAUUUUUAUUAGCAUUUUUAGGGCAUUACCAAUUUGGGACGGAUCUGUAGUGUGAGAGAUUGUUGUCACUCUUAGCUCCAAACGUAGGUUGACUUUAUAUAUUAUUUACAUGUUCAGAAUUAUACUGUGUAGAAAUUCAAAUGAAACUUGCAAAAUACUUUUCUGGCAGGAAGCCCUGGAGAGGAUCGUUCAUGGAAACAAGGAUGACGACUGGGGUAAGAAAUGCAGGUGACUCGUGAGUGGUCAGGGAGUGGAAGAGAAGACGGCUGGAAGGUUUUAGCAUUCAGAAAAAAAAUGGAGACAACUAGAGUUGAUCUGAAGAUUAUGGCAGAAUUCAAUAUUGGGGGAAAGAAACAAGAUGGGGGUUAGAAGUUAGAAACAGCAGAGCUCCACAGGUUGGAAAGGUUGGAAAGGAUUUGAGCAAGAGAACAAGAAGGAGCCUGCUAAUAGCACCCUGGGUUUACAUCAAGAGAAGCACCUGGAGAGAAUUAACUCGGGAGGAGGUGGGGGCAUGGGAAACCUUUUCAUCUCCAAGAGCGGGCAGGAACAGCAGCUGGCCUGAACUUGAAGGUACACCAGGUAGCUUGCCUGGGCCAGGAGAAGGUGAUUCUCUUCUAUGCCUCUCUCCAACGCCCUGCUUCUGAUGCUGCUCCUCUACCUGUAUUGAGGGGAAGAUACAUCCCUAAGAAGUUCCCUGAACCCCAUUCUUUGUUGUGGCUAACUGGUCCCCUUGGAAUUUUUCUACUAAUUUUCAAUUCCCCUUCUCACCUGGUGAAAUCUUAAAUCUUACUGUUCAAUAAAAGUUCUUCUACCAAAA
RNAcentral lists this long non-coding RNA (2134 nucleotides) under Pan troglodytes (chimpanzee). RNAcentral's name for it is "lincRNA". The record is from RNAcentral. Lineage: Eukaryota; Metazoa; Chordata; Mammalia; Primates; Hominidae.